GACGAACGCUGGCGGCGUGCUUAACACAUGCAAGUCGAACGGUAAGGCUCCAGCUUGCUGGGGUACACGAGUGGCGAACGGGUGAGUAACACGUGGGUGACCUGCCCUGCACUUCGGGAUAAGCCUGGGAAACUGGGUCUAAUACCGGAUAGGACCAUGGUGUGGAUACUGUGGUGGAAAGUUUUUUCGGUGUGGGAUGGGCCCGCGGCCUAUCAGCUUGUUGGUGGGGUAAUGGCCUACCAAGGCGGCGACCGGUAGCCGGCCUGAGAGGGUGGACGGCCACAUUGGGACUGAGACACGGCCCAGACUCCUACGGGAGGCAGCAGUGGGGAAUAUUGCACAAUGGGCGGAAGCCUGAUGCAGCGACGCCGCGUGGGGGAUGACGGCCUUCGGGUUGUAAACUCCUUUCACCAUCGACGAAGGGUUUCUGACGGUAGAUGGAGAAGAAGCACCGGCUAACUACGUG
RNAcentral lists this ribosomal RNA (466 nucleotides) under uncultured bacterium. RNAcentral's name for it is "partial 16S ribosomal RNA". It matches the Rfam family "Bacterial small subunit ribosomal RNA", at positions 28 to 507 of the family's 1533-position model. The record is from RNAcentral.